RNAcentral lists this small nucleolar RNA (67 nucleotides) under Tursiops truncatus (common bottlenose dolphin). RNAcentral describes it as "Small nucleolar RNA SNORD112 (ENSTTRG00000024408.1)". The record is from RNAcentral. Lineage: Eukaryota; Metazoa; Chordata; Mammalia; Artiodactyla; Delphinidae.
UGUUCCAGUGAUGAGAGUGAUGUACUAAAGACAUGAUUAAUCCAAUUCUGUGCACCUAAGGUCCAUA